GGGGUCGUAGCUCAGUUGGGAGAGCACUGCCUCGGCAUGGCAGGGGUCACGGGUUCAAGUCCCGUCGACUCCA
RNAcentral lists this transfer RNA (73 nucleotides) under Aquificota bacterium. RNAcentral describes it as "Aquificae bacterium tRNA-Ala". It matches the Rfam family "tRNA". Rfam says of the family: Transfer RNA (tRNA) molecules are approximately 80 nucleotides in length. Lineage: Bacteria; Pseudomonadati; Aquificota. The record is from RNAcentral.